This 250-nucleotide ribosomal RNA is filed under the name uncultured bacterium. RNAcentral describes it as "partial 16S ribosomal RNA". It matches the Rfam family "Bacterial small subunit ribosomal RNA", at positions 524 to 773 of the family's 1533-position model. The record is from RNAcentral.
UACAGAGACUGCAAGCGUUAAUCGGAAUUACUGGGCGUAAAGCGUGCGCAGGCGGUUUGCUAAGACAGGUGUGAAAUCCCCGAGCUUAACUUGGGAAUUGCGCUUGUAACUGGCAAGCUAGAGUGUGGCAGAGGGGGGUGGGAUUCCACGUGUAGCAGUGAAAUGCGUAGAUAUGUGGAGGAACACCGAUGGCGAAGGCAGCCCCCUGGGCUAACACUGACGCUCAUGCACGAAAGCGUGGGGAGCAAAC